UGGGGAAUAUUGCACAAUGGAGGAAACUCUGAUGCAGCGAUGCCGCGUGAGGGAAGAAGGUUUUCGGAUUGUAAACCUCUGUCUUCAGGGACGAAAAUGACGGUACCUGAGGAGGAAGCUCCGGCUAACUACGUGCCAGCAGCCGCGGUAAUACGUAGGGAGCGAGCGUUGUCCGGAAUUACUGGGUGUAAAGGGAGCGUAGGCGGGGCUUUAAGUCAGGUGUGAAAUGUAUGGGCUCAACCCGUAAACUGCACUUGAAACUGAGGCUCUUGAGUGAAGUAGAGGCAGGCGGAAUUCCUAGUGUAGCGGUGAAAUGCGUAGAUAUUAGGAGGAACAUCAGUGGCGAAGGCGGCCUGCUGGGCUUUUACUGACGCUGAGGCUCGAAAGCGUGGGGAGCAAACA
This 402-nucleotide ribosomal RNA is filed under the name uncultured Ruminococcus sp. RNAcentral's name for it is "bacterial SSU rRNA". It matches the Rfam family "Bacterial small subunit ribosomal RNA", at positions 355 to 774 of the family's 1533-position model. Lineage: Bacteria; Bacillati; Bacillota; Clostridia; Eubacteriales; Oscillospiraceae. The record is from RNAcentral.